CCUACGGGAGGCAGCAGUAGGGAAUUUUCCACAAUGGGCGCAAGCCUGAUGGAGCAAUCCCGCGUGAACGAUGAAGGUCCUACAAGAUCGUAAAGUUCUUUUAUUUGAGACGAACAGCUAAGAUAGGAAAUGAUUUUAGUUUGACUGUAUCAAUUGAAUAAGUAUCGGCUAACUAUGUGCCAGCAGCCGCGGUAAUA
Molecule: ribosomal RNA, 197 nt
Filed under: uncultured Mycoplasma sp.
Lineage: Bacteria; Bacillati; Mycoplasmatota; Mollicutes; Mycoplasmatales; Mycoplasmataceae
Description: partial 16S rRNA
Rfam family: Bacterial small subunit ribosomal RNA
Source: RNAcentral